UACGUAGGUGGCAAGCGUUGUCCGGAUUUACUGGGCGUAAAGAGCGCGCAGGCGGUCGUGCAAGUCGCGUGUGAAAGCCCCCGGCUCAACUGGGGAGGGUCACGCGAUACUGCUCGACUCGAAGGCAGGAGAGGGAAGUGGAAUUCCCGGUGUAGUGGUGAAAUGCGUAGAUAUCUGGAGGAAUACCGGUGGCGAAGGCGGCAUCCUGGACCGACAUUGACGCUGAACGGCGAAAGCUAGGGGAGCAAACGGG
This 253-nucleotide ribosomal RNA is filed under the name uncultured bacterium. Its description in RNAcentral is "partial 16S ribosomal RNA". It matches the Rfam family "Bacterial small subunit ribosomal RNA", at positions 524 to 776 of the family's 1533-position model. The record is from RNAcentral.